Molecule: ribosomal RNA, 250 nt
Filed under: uncultured bacterium
Lineage: Bacteria
Description: partial 16S ribosomal RNA
Rfam family: Bacterial small subunit ribosomal RNA
Source: RNAcentral
GACGGAGGAUGCAAGUGUUAUCCGGAAUCACUGGGCGUAAAGCGUCUGUAGGUGGUUUAAUAAGUCAACUGUUAAAUCUUGAGGCUCAACCUCAAAAUCGCAGUCGAAACUAUUAGGCUAGAGUAUAGUAGGGGUAAAGGGAAUUUCCAGUGGAGCGGUGAAAUGCGUAGAGAUUGGAAAGAACACCGAUGGCGAAGGCACUUUACUGGGCUAUUACUAACACUCAGAGACGAAAAGCUAAGGGUAGCAA